This 450-nucleotide ribosomal RNA is filed under the name uncultured bacterium. RNAcentral's name for it is "partial 16S ribosomal RNA". It matches the Rfam family "Bacterial small subunit ribosomal RNA", at positions 354 to 796 of the family's 1533-position model. The record is from RNAcentral.
GUGGGGAAUAUUGGACAAUGGGCGAAAGCCUGAUCCAGCCAUGCCGCGUGUGUGAAGAAGGUCUUCGGAUUGUAAAGCACUUUAAGUUGGGAGGAAGGGCAGUAAGUUAAUACCUUGCUGUUUUGACGUUACCGACAGAAUAAGCACCGGCUAACUUCGUGCCAGCAGCCGCGGUAAUACGAAGGGUGCAAGCGUUAAUCGGAAUUACUGGGCGUAAAGCGCGCGUAGGUGGUUUUGUAAGUUGGAGGUGAAAUCCCCGGGCUCAACCUGGGAACUGCCUCCAAAACUGCAUGACUAGAGUACGGUAGAGGGUAGUGGAAUUUCCUGUGUAGUGGUGAAAUGCGUAGAUAUAGGAAGGAACACCAGUGGCGAAGGCGACUACCUGGACUGAUACUGACACUGAGGUGCGAAAGCGUGGGGAGCAAACAGGAUUAGAAACCCCAGUAGUCC